Molecule: ribosomal RNA, 208 nt
Filed under: uncultured bacterium
Lineage: Bacteria
Description: partial 16S ribosomal RNA
Rfam family: Bacterial small subunit ribosomal RNA
Source: RNAcentral
CGCGUAGGCGGUUUGGUAAGCUGGAUGUGAAAUCCCCGGGCUCAACCUGGGAACUGCAUUCAGAACUGCCAGGCUAGAGUACAGUAGAGGAUAGUGGAAUUUCCGGUGUAGCGGUGAAAUGCGUAGAGAUCGGAAGGAACAUCAGUGGCGAAGGCGGCUAUCUGGACUGAUACUGACGCUGAGGUGCGAAAGCGGUGGGGAGCAAACA